CCAUGGCCUGGACCCCACUCCUCCUCUUCAUCAUCCUCCUUCACUGCACAGGGUCCCUCUCCCAGGCUGUGCUGACUCAGCAGCGCUUUGCAUCGGCCUCCCUGGGAGCCUGGGUCAAGCUCACCUGCACCCUGAGCCCUGGGUAUAGGUACAACACCACUGGAUGGCACCAGCAGCAGCCAGGGAAGGCCCCUUGGUACUUAAUGUAUGUUAACAGUGAUGGAACCAGCAUCAAUGGGGAUGGGAUUCCUGACUGCUUCUCAGGCUCCGGCUCUGGGGCUGACCGCUACUUAACCAUCUCCAACCUCCAGUCUGAGGAUGAGGCUGAUUAUUACUGUCAGUCCUAUGACAGCAGUGGUAUUCUUCACAGUGACACAGGCAGAUGA
Non-coding RNA from Otolemur garnettii (small-eared galago), 386 nucleotides. The record is from the annotation of a RefSeq genome assembly. Lineage: Eukaryota; Metazoa; Chordata; Mammalia; Primates; Galagidae.